GCCAACCUCGCGGCGGGCAACAAAAUCUCCACACCCGCUCGCCCUGCAGGCUUCUAGAAACCCUCCCAGGUACACCUGUGCUCGCACUUCCUGCUUCCAAGUAGCUGGUAAUUGUAGUUACCGUGCACGGACGUUUAGAAGCUAAACAUUAACUUUGUGCAUCUGUACAAGCCGGAGAAGCCAGCAGAUUGUCAGACUGGACUCUCAGGAUCCAAUCCAUUCUGCUCUCUUAGGGGAGAAGUUCCCAUCCCGGACCCCGAGACAAGGCUCCGCGCGGUGGGCGAGGGGCAGACGCCCGCAGCCCUCCCUGCAGGCUCCGGGCGCGGCUGCUCUGUCGGGAGUCGGCCGCAUCCCGCCCGGUGCACGGUGGUCGGCGGGUCCCGGACAUCUCCCAGCAGCCGCUUCCCAAGACUCACCCCAGUCCGGCUCCCAGCGCGGGCGCCUGCGACACAGGAAUGAGAGGAAGAUCACGCAGAUCUAAAGGAAGCACAGCGUGCCGGGCAGAAAUGAACACGAUUGGGGCUUUUGAAUCAAGCAUUUUUAUGGAAGGUCAGUGCCUUGAUGGAAAAACAGUUCGUAUUUGGACUCACUGCUUCCCUACGGGCCUUCAUUCAUAUCAGCAUCACAGCACAUCAGUUCCAGCAAACAGUAAGAACAAGGAAGACACAAGAUUCAGCCAAAACUCCUUUUUAACUUGGCUAUCUUUUAGAGCAAAGAAUAGUCAUUUAUGAGUCAUAACUCUGAAAUUCUGGGCCAACUAACUAACAAAAUAUUUUAGGAAACAGUACACUCACCUUGCUGUUAAACUGAGCUUUUCAGCCAGGAUGACUCCCAAUUAUGGAGGAAGACUCUGGAAGGAGAAGAUGAUGGCACUUGGGCCUGAUGGGUUUUAUCCUUGAACCUGGAACGGCAUGGUCCCUAGCUCUGACUCAAACAGGGAACUGAGCCUUUCUGAAGAGACUGGCAUCCAGCUGACAUCAAUUUACUAUAUAUAGCACCAAAUACUUUAGCUACUCAUAUCUUCCUGGCAAAAGGGAGGAACAGGGAAAGAUUAGGCUCUCCCUAUUGUGUUUCUGGUUUCUGAGAUAGUUGAAUGAAAUACUCAUUCAUUGGCCAUGAAUGAGCCAAAAUGGAUUUUAAAACUUCUAAAGAUGUAGUUCUUAUUCUAUAUCUUAAUUGAGGUAACAGGAUGCAUGUAUUAAUUGGAACAGAAUGACAGAUUAGUCUUAAUCAAAAUGAACAGUAUGGCCAAUAAUAUCUAUGGGGACUCAGGAAGCACAAAAGCAGUGAUGAGUGGAUCAAUAGAGCCAUUCCCAAAGCAAAGGCAAGAAUUACUCUAUCUUAUAAAAGCACAUAAUAUUUGAAUAGGAAAGUGGGGGAAGAUGUUGAAAUGGGCCAUCAUAGGUUGAACCAGGAAGCUGAGUAAAAACUUAGACCCCUCAAUGGGUCACUCUUUUGGAGACAUCCAAAAAGAUUAUCCCUGAAAAGCUGCACAGCCUCUUCAAGACCUGGAGUGGAGGAUUUCUGUCUGGAGGAAUGAUAAGAGAAGAAGUCCAAAAACUCAAUCAUCUAGGCUUCCUUGCAGCACUUUAACCACAAAACCAUAUUCCCUCCACCGAUAUGGUAUUUUCCUUUUACUAUUUGCUAUUCCUGGAACAUGCUUUCCUACCCACCUAGUUCGCAUUCAGUGCUCAGCUUAAGUACUAAGUCCUCAUGAAAACUUUCCCCAGGCAUCCCACCUGCACUACCCUGUGCCGUUUUCUAACCCCUUUCUCAUUUUUCUUUGCAUUUUGAGUUAGUCAAGAUUAAUAUCACAUGGAAGUGAGUAACAGAAUUCCCCUCCCAUGUUAAAAAAAUGAACAAUAAAAAAGUGGAAGUUUUUCCUUAGUCUAGAGGUAAGGAAUGUAUGGCAGGUGUAACUGACCCGCUUAUCAGGAGCUUUGCCUUCUUUUUGCUCCAUUCCUAAAAUGCAGACCUUUGAGGCCUAGUUCACUGUUCUGUGUCCAGGUAGCAGGCUUGUGGUUCAGACAGCAGGAAGAAGAAGAAGGCAUGGCCCAUGCCUUUCUUUCAGAAGAUGUCUUCUUACUGUUCACACCUCUCCUGUUUAUAUCCGUUGGGCAAAGGUUAGUCAUAUAGCCAUACAUAGCAUUAAAGAGAAAUCUACUAAAAUAUAAGAUAAUGUUUUCUGGGUUACAGCUCUCAGUUUUUGUCCCAAGAAUAUGACAACAUGAUUUUUUCUGCUCCUCACUAAUUAUUGAUUUAUCUAAUACAUAUUUUUUAACUAAAGUAUGAACUCCAGAAGAGUUUGGGCUUUGUCUGUAUCAGCACUUAGAACCAUAUCUAGGAGCUGGAGAUGUAGUUUGGUUGGUAGAGUGCUAUCCUGCCCUACCCAAAGCCCUGGGUUCCAUCCCUAGUACCACAUAAAUGGGGCAUCAUGGCCCAUGCCUGUAAUUCUAGGAUUCCAAAGUGGAAGUAGAAGGAUGAGGGUCAGGAUUUCAAGGUCAUCCUCAGCUACAAAGAGAGCUGGAGGUCAGCCUGGGCUAUAUGAGACCCUGUCUAAAAAAUAACAUCCACCACCACAACAACAAAAAAAGUGUAUCUGGUAUGUAAGUACCUAAUGUCAAUGGAGUGAAUGAGGGGUCUGAAAAUUCACUGUAGAAUGCAUCAAAGUUUCGGCAUGAAUUUAGAGUUCCCUGGUUAUAAACACUUGGAAGGAAAUGAGAUUGUAGUAAAUGAACAGUCAUUUGAAUAUAAGAUGGUGUCUAUUUAUGGGAGAAGUUAUACUUUAGAGACUGAAAGAGGCUGGUGGUAUAGCUCAGUGAUACAGUGAUUGUAAAGGCUGUGUGGGACACUGGGCUUAACUCCAGCCCCACAUGUAAAUAAAAGUUAAAUAAAAGUUGUAUGUACAACAGAAAAUGUUGGACACCAAUAGAUAUUUGAAUAGGUUUGUAUACCUAGUCAUAGUACUGAAAUUUAACACUGUAGGUUUACAUUCAUCUAUUGCAAUUGCCUAUAAGCAAAUAUUUGCCUUGAAAUUAUGAA
Nannospalax galili (Upper Galilee mountains blind mole rat) is the source of this 3042-nucleotide long non-coding RNA. RefSeq lists it as uncharacterized. Lineage: Eukaryota; Metazoa; Chordata; Mammalia; Rodentia; Spalacidae. The record is from RefSeq and is a predicted model, not a curated record. The transcript is spliced from 4 exons.